RNAcentral lists this ribosomal RNA (441 nucleotides) under uncultured Acinetobacter sp. RNAcentral describes it as "bacterial SSU rRNA". It matches the Rfam family "Bacterial small subunit ribosomal RNA", at positions 358 to 789 of the family's 1533-position model. The record is from RNAcentral. Lineage: Bacteria; Pseudomonadati; Pseudomonadota; Gammaproteobacteria; Moraxellales; Moraxellaceae.
GGAAUAUUGGACAAUGGGGGGAACCCUGAUCCAGCCAUGCCGCGUGUGUGAAGAAGGCCUUUUGGUUGUAAAGCACUUUAAGCGAGGAGGAGGCUACUUUGGUUAAUACCCAGAGAUAGUGGACGUUACUCGCAGAAUAAGCACCGGCUAACUCUGUGCCAGCAGCCGCGGUAAUACAGAGGGUGCGAGCGUUAAUCGGAUUUACUGGGCGUAAAGCGUACGUAGGUGGUCUUUUAAGUCGGAUGUGAAAUCCCUGAGCUUAACUUAGGAAUUGCAUUCGAUACUGGGAGACUAGAGUAUGGGAGAGGAUGGUAGAAUUCCAGGUGUAGCGGUGAAAUGCGUAGAGAUCUGGAGGAAUACCGAUGGCGAAGGCAGCCAUCUGGCCUAAUACUGACACUGAGGUACGAAAGCAUGGGGAGCAAACAGGAUUAGAUACCCCUG